UACGGAGGGGGCGAGCGUUAUUCGGAAUCAUUGGGCGUAAAGGGCGCGUAGGCGGCCCCGUAAGUCUUGGGUGAAAGCCCUCGGCUCAACCGGGGAGGGCGGCUGCAAACUGGGCGUCUUGAGGGGGAUAGAGGAAGGUGGAAUUCCUGGUGUAGCGGUGAAAUGCGUAGAGAUCAGGAGGAACACCCGUGGCGAAGGCGGCCUUCUGGGUCCGCCCUGACGCUGAGGCGCGAAAGCGUGGGGAGCGAACGGG
This 253-nucleotide ribosomal RNA is filed under the name uncultured bacterium. RNAcentral's name for it is "partial 16S ribosomal RNA". It matches the Rfam family "Bacterial small subunit ribosomal RNA", at positions 524 to 776 of the family's 1533-position model. The record is from RNAcentral.